This 253-nucleotide ribosomal RNA is filed under the name uncultured bacterium. RNAcentral's name for it is "partial 16S ribosomal RNA". It matches the Rfam family "Bacterial small subunit ribosomal RNA", at positions 524 to 776 of the family's 1533-position model. The record is from RNAcentral.
UACAGAGGUCCCGAGCGUUGUUCGGAUUCACUGGGCGUAAAGGGUGCGUAGGUGGCGAGGUAAGUCGGAUGUGAAAGCUCGGAGCUCAACUCCGAAAUGGCAUUGGAAACUACCUUGCUCGAGGGUUGGAGGGGGGACUGGAAUACUUGGUGUAGCAGUGAAAUGCGUAGAUAUCAAGUGGAACACCAGUGGCGAAGGCGAGUCCUUGGACAACUCCUGACACUGAGGCACGAAAGCUAGGGGAGCAAACAGG